GUGUAAAUAUCGUGCGGAAUAAAUCCCAAGACUCUAAAAACGUGUUGUUCAUAAAGUUCUCAGUACUUAACCAUGAAUGUCAAGUCUAAUGGGUAGAUGAAAGUAGAAAAGUUAUUC
RNAcentral lists this non-coding RNA (117 nucleotides) under Hanseniaspora uvarum. Lineage: Eukaryota; Fungi; Ascomycota; Saccharomycetes; Saccharomycodales; Saccharomycodaceae. The record is from Rfam by way of RNAcentral.